ACGUUGCUCUAUUCCAGCUCCCAGAUGUUGCAGCGACCCCAUGGGGAUUUGCCUUUGUGAUGGCAAAGCGAGCUGGGCUUUUUGUAAUGGGAGGAAAUGCUGUGUGACUAUGGCUACAGCAACAAGCUGACAUUUGGCUCAGGAACCAGGCUGUCCGUCCAACCAAGUGAGUGAGGAGCUUUCCAUAGGUUUUCCAUAUGUGACUCGUGCUACAGAUGUUGUUCCAUUUCCAUCCUUUCACUACACCUUUGUCGAGCUAAAAUGCCUUCUCUCCCCUUGCAGGCUCUGAGAGUGCCCUGAGUGCAGUAUUUAAUGAGGUUUUGGGUGGCUGGAACAAAGCUCAUCUUGAGGUCUGCAUGUCCUCUGGAAAGGGUGACCUGUGUAUUGCUGUGAAGGGUCUUUGCCAGCCACACAAAGGGCUGUCUGGUUAUGGGGAAAUGAGAGCAUUUGUGUAAUGGCCUUUGUUGCUGUGAGUGCCGACUUGUACGGGCUCACCUUUGGAGCUGGAACAAAGCUUUGUGUAAAGCCUGGUGANUACUGUUACAGUUAUUAUUUAGCCUUGCAAGGCGAAGCUGAAAUAGCCCAGACAGUAAUGUUGGAGUGUAAGUUUUGGUCAGGCUUUCUAUUUGUGUUCACAAGCCUGUGCCUUCUCUCUGGGUAUUGCAGAGCUGUGAGGUGUUUUGGGAAGGAAAGGUGGCAGAGUAGAAGUUUUUCCCUGGAACAGAGGAAAAGCUAUUUACAAAGGCAUGUCAGGGGUGGUUUCUUUGUGGCCAUGGACAGUCCAUGCUGGGCCGGGCAGUUUCCCAAGGCAAUUCCUGGUGUUUUGAGGCAUGAGAAAACCCUUUGUGUAUAAUGCAGGAGCUGGAAAGAUGAGAUUCAGUGAUGGAAGGCCACUGACUGUAAAACACCGUGGGUACAAGCACUAAGCUCACACUAGCACUUUGUAGCAAAGGAGCCUGCCAGGAGGCUGCCUUCCCUUGGCUUUUUCUUUUUUUUAGCUUGCGUAGUAGCUGACCAAAUGCAUUUUUCACAGCUCUUGCAGAGCUGUUCAUGAACUGCCAUCUGAAUGUGUCUCAGUCUGCUGCAGUUCUCAAACCUCAUGCUUCUGCAGCUGCGGGGCUACCCGUGAUGUGCUAUCCCUCAGGACAGGCUUUGGCUCAGGACAGAAGCAGCAGUCCUGUCAUCUCACAGCUGCCUGUGAAACGCAUGGAUUGCCUGACAUGAUGGUUUUCCACAUGCUUUGUGCACAGAAACAGUGCUACACACAUGGUCCCCCGAUUCUGGGCAAGCGUUACUGUAGGUGUGAGUUGUCGCUCGUGGGGCUUAAUAAUUACAAAAUGCAGCAUGGAACACUCCUCUGAAAAGUGCAAGUGAGCUAGGGCAUGGAUUUUCCUUUCUUGCAGGUAGUGGCCCUGCGCUUGGGCCUGUUGUGUCAGGGAGCUCUGCCAUGGCCUGAGUUCAGGUGCUUUGUGCUUGAGAUCAUGUGCAGGGCUGGCAGACACUUUUGUAAUGAGACGUGCCACAGUGUGUACAACGUGGGAAAAGCAAUUUUUGGAAAAGGAACUGUGCUUUCAGUUGUACCAAGUAAGCAGCAAAUUGCGCUGAAAACCAAAGUGUCUUUUCCUUUGUCAUAGCAACCCAGCAUACAGCCCGGCAGUACUGUGAGGACAGGGGUAGAGAUAGUUUUGGGGUUGCCUCUUAGUUUUGGGCCCUAUUACAUCCCACAAAGCCAGACGCUUAACCUUCACUUGUGGCCUAGGAUCCUUCAGGCUCAGCCCACCCUUCUGUUGCCCCAGCUAGCCUUUGCACAGCUAUGCUCAACCUUGGGGCAAAGUGCCACUUCUCCAGGAGCU
This 1853-nucleotide long non-coding RNA is filed under the name Anser cygnoides (Swan goose). Its description in RNAcentral is "lncRNA (ENSACDG00005016754.1)". The record is from RNAcentral. Lineage: Eukaryota; Metazoa; Chordata; Aves; Anseriformes; Anatidae.